AACGCAAGUUGCGCCCCAAGCCAUUAGGCCGAGGGCACGUCUGCCUGGGUGUCACGCAUCGUCGCCCCCAUCCAACCCGAGCCCUCGGGCCCCGGUUGAACUGUGGGCGGAAAUUGGCCUCCCGCGCGCUCACCGCCGGCGGUUGGCCUAAAUACGAGUCCUCGACGACGGCAUCGUCACGACGAUCGGUGGUAAUGCUAUAGGCUGCCUCGUUCGGAGUCGUGCACGUUCGUCGAUCGAGACCCCCGACCCUUUCGGCAUCGCAAGGACGGUGCUCGCAUCGCGACCCCAGGUCAGGCGGGAUUACCCGCUGAGUUUAA
This 320-nucleotide unclassified non-coding RNA is filed under the name uncultured soil eukaryote. RNAcentral describes it as "sequence contains 5.8S rRNA gene, ITS2, 28S rRNA gene". The record is from RNAcentral.